This 1382-nucleotide long non-coding RNA is filed under the name Homo sapiens (human). Its description in RNAcentral is "HSALNT0073472". The record is from RNAcentral. Lineage: Eukaryota; Metazoa; Chordata; Mammalia; Primates; Hominidae.
GCUUCUGUGUUCCUCUGACUUACUGGAGAAAAGAGAACUGGAGGAAAUUCACCUACAGACAAAAAAAGAAAAAUAAGGGAGACUUGAAAAGAAGAAGAGAGGCGACAGACACAAUUCAAAGUCCCAGAAGACAGCGCACGACUUCCCAAGCUUGGGUUUGUUCCUGACUGGCCACAGGGGAGAGGAGGCUAGCUUACUUUGAUUUUUUUUUAUAGAAGAUCCUCUCUCCCACCCAAGACUAUCCACAGCAAAGAAGAAGCAGUUGUGUAUUAGUCAGCGUUCUCUAGGACAGAAGUAACAGGAUAGAGGAAUGUAUGAAAAGGAGUUUAUAUAAGGAGAGUUGACUCACACAAUCACAAGGCGAAGUCCAACGAUAGACAAUCUGCAAGCUGAGGAGCAAGGAAGUCAGUAGUGGCUCAGUGUGAGUCUCAAAACCUCAAAAGUAGGGAAGCUGACAGUGCAGCCUUUAGUCUGUGGCCGAAGCCCCAAGAGCCCCUGACAAACCACUGGUGUAAGUCCAAGAGUCUAAAGGCUGAAGAACCUGGAGUCUGAUGUUCAAGGGCAGGAAGCAUUCAGCACGGGAAAAAGAUGAAGGCUGGAAGACUCAGAAAGUCAGCUCAUUCCACCUUCUUCUACCUAGCAGCUGAUUGAAUGGUGCCCACCCAGACUGAGGGUGAAUCUGCGUCUCCCAGUCCACUGACUCAAAUGUUAACCUCCUCUGGCAGCAACCUCACAGACACAUCCAGAAACAAUACUUUGCAUCCUUCAAUCCAAUCAAGUUGACACUUAAUAUUAACCAUCACAAGUGGAUGUGUUUUUACCUGAGUUAAAAACAAGUUUUUAAAAAAAAUUAAAAGUUGGGAGACAGAUUAAGAUGGUGGACAGGAGGCAGGACUAGCUUGCAGCUCCCACUUGGAUGGUCAGAGCAGUGUGUGGAGACUCACAUCGUUAACUUUUGCUCCAAGAACUACUGCAGGAACAUACCAGGAAAGCUGAGAGAAUCCACAAACGCUUUGAAGGAACUGGAUCACUGCUGCAGGCUCCCUGAGACACCAAAAAAUGGUGAGUCUGCUUCCUUUCUCAAUGGGGAAGCUCAUGGUCUGGGGCAAGUUCUCAGCCCUGGUCAUUUGCUGCCUGGAAAUACACUCAGAGUUGUUGUGGGGGCAUGGUGGGAGUGAGACUGGCCUUUAGGACUGCAGGCUAUGUGGAAGCAGGGUGAGGCCUGUGACUGCUGGCUUUCCCCCACUUUCCUUGUGACCUGUAUGACUCAGCAGAAGCAGCCAUAAUCCCGAUAGGAAUAUAACUCCAUUGGACUGGGAACCACACCCCAUGUCCCACAGCAGCUGCAGUAAGCCCCACCCAAGGAAAGGCUGAGCUCAGAC